Molecule: long non-coding RNA, 209 nt
Filed under: Elaeis guineensis (African oil palm)
Lineage: Eukaryota; Viridiplantae; Streptophyta; Magnoliopsida; Arecales; Arecaceae
Description: long non-coding RNA (EGUI_LNC054382)
Source: RNAcentral
UCUCUCAGGCAUCUUCUUCAGUAAAGGUUAUAGAUCCUUCAGUUCUUUGCCGCUUGGGCGGUCCGGCCGAUCCACUGGCCGCUCCCCUCUAGGGCCCUCCAGAGAUGGUAUUGAUGAUCCCAAUUGGAGGCCGAUCUUCAGGCUGUUCUUCCCUCCUUGGCAGCUCCGGUUGCGGCAGGGCCCUCGGUCGAUCCUCCCUACCUUCAGGC